AUCCAGCUGACGUGUUCCAAAUAGAAUGAAACGCGCAUUCUGGAU
This is a non-coding RNA of Schistosoma curassoni, 45 nucleotides long. The record is from Rfam. Lineage: Eukaryota; Metazoa; Platyhelminthes; Trematoda; Strigeidida; Schistosomatidae.